GACCAGACUCCUACGGGAGGCAGCAAUGAGGAAUAUUGGUCAAUGGUCGGGAGACUGAACCAGCCAAGCCGCGUGAGGGAGGAAGGUACAGAGUAUCGUAAACCUCUUUUGUCAGGGAACAAAGGCGGGGACGUGUCCCCGGAUGAGUGUGCCUGAAGAAAAAGCAUCGGCUAACUCCGUGCCAGCAGCCGCGGUAAUACGGAGAAUGCGAGCGUUAUCCGGAUUUAUUGGGUUUAAAGGGUGCGUAGGCGGAAGGUUAAGUCAGCGGUAAAAUGUCGGUGCUCAACACCGGCCUGCCGUUGAAACUGGUCUUCUUGAGUGAGCGAGAAGUAUGCGGAAUGCGUGGUGUAGCGGUGAAAUGCAUAGAUAUCACGCAGAACUCCGAUUGCGAAGGCAGCAUACCGGCGCUCAACUGACGCUGAGGCACGAAAGCGUGGGGAUCGAACAGGAUUAGAUACCCCGGUAGC
This 467-nucleotide ribosomal RNA is filed under the name uncultured bacterium. RNAcentral's name for it is "bacterial SSU rRNA". It matches the Rfam family "Bacterial small subunit ribosomal RNA", at positions 329 to 794 of the family's 1533-position model. The record is from RNAcentral.